This is a long non-coding RNA of Felis catus (domestic cat), 1887 nucleotides long. RefSeq lists it as uncharacterized. The record is from RefSeq and is a predicted model, not a curated record. NCBI's taxonomy places the organism in Eukaryota, Metazoa, Chordata, Mammalia, Carnivora, Felidae. The transcript is spliced from 3 exons.
CCUGGGGGCUGCGGGUUGGGGCGUCUGGAUGUGAAGCGUAAACACAGCACGUCCGUCCACACGCUGGAGUCUCGUCCAGACUCGGAAAGUCAGGGCGUCCUGCCGCCUGCCACCGUGUGGACAGACCGGAGGACACUGCGCAGUGACAGGAGCCGGGCACAGAAGGACGCGUCCCGCGUGACCCCCUAGAGGAGUCCCAUCCGCGAAGACAGAGUAGAUGGCAGGGGGCGGGGAUUCCUGUCCCUAAGGAGAAGCUUCCGGGUAGAUGUGAGUCAUCAUCUCCAGUUUGAGAUGUUGGUAAGACAGGAUGGGUCAGGAGGAGGUAAGGGUGACCCGGCAGGUGGGGGAGGUGACAGGAGCAAAGGUCAUGGGGCCAGGAGCCCAGGCACACUUGGGAAAGAGAUGGGGGGUGGUGAGCGGGCAGCUGGCUGGCACAUCCUACAGGGGGGUGGCUGAGGGGGGUUCUGCUCUGAGGUCAUGCUCGCCGGGUUCAGAUCCCACCUCCACCCCCCUCACAAACCGUGUGUCCUUGAGUUGGGGUCUUAAACUCCCUCAAACUCCCUCUUUUCAUGGGAAAAUCAGGCUGUUGACACGCGAGAAAGGAUGGCCCAGACCGCACUUGGCACAUGGGAAAUGUGUCUCCAUACGCCUCCCCUGCUGAGGUUACCUGGAAAUCCACGGAAGGCCACCCCUUCCCUCCUUGGACACCCACGCCCCCCCCCAACUGGCCUCGCUGCAGUGCUCAGAGGAUCCCUCCCUCGGCUCACCCUCCCAAAGUAACACACACGCCAGAAAACCUCCCGCUCCCCUUUUCUGUUUUUUAAGUAGGCUUCACGUUCAGCGCCCCAAUGCGGGGCUUGAACUCACGACCCUGAGAUCACGGCUGAGAUAGGCUCAGCAGGGCUGCUGAGCUGCUGUCCUUGGAAUGCACCCGGCAGGGUCCUACCCCCAGGCCUUUGCUGGUUCCUCUCCCUGGAACACCCUCCUACCCCGUGUCAUCUCCCCACUGUCCCCCUGCACCCUCCAUCUCAGCGGGGCUCCCCGCCCCCCCCCUCGCAGCCUGAGAUGUUUCACACCCCUGCCCCGCCACCUCGCACAUUUCAUACUCACCCCUUGUUUCUUCUUAGCCUUUCACACCGUCUAUGUGUCUUACCUCCCCCUCCUAGUUACCCCCCGCCCCGUGCCCCUUAUGGGAGCAUGGAUGCCCCAGGGCUGGAGUUCCCAGCACACAGUAGGUGCUCAAAAAAGACGUGUUGGUUGAACGACUGAAUGAGUCCGCUAACUAAUGAAGGGACUGGUGAGAUGUCACAACACUCUCAACUCCAGAACCACGCAUUUCUAGGCAAUCGGGAUGCUGAAAUAAAUGUGUUUCACGGGUACGAAAGGAUACGGACCACCAUCGACUUUCCAUCGUUGACCGGAGAGUUCAUGCCGCUUGGCUGCAGGACACGGUUCCCCGGAGGCUGCCCACACUGCAGGCACCAGCCGCGAGCUUGGGGGCCCGAGACGGCCCAGAGCCACCGAGGACUCGGAAAAGGGUCCCACCGCUGGUUCCAAGUGGCCGUGAAUUUUGGGGGGACACGUUCGCUCCAACACACAGUGAAGAUUCAGGGCUCCCGGGCAGGAGGGGGGCACACGUACAGACAGAUGUGGAAUCAACCCCAAUGUCCAUCAGCUGAUGGUGGGUGAGAGAGAUGUGGUUCAUCCCCACGACGGAAUUCAUUCACCUGCUAGCAAGAGCGAGGCGCCCACCCCCGCCACCCCGCGGAUGGACCCCGAGCACACGACGCCCAGGGAGGGAACCAGACCCGAGAGGCCACACGGGGUGUGAGUCCACGUGUGUGAGACGUCCAGAACGGGCCCAUCCACGGACGGGAAGGGGGCUCU